Molecule: long non-coding RNA, 533 nt
Filed under: Nicotiana benthamiana
Lineage: Eukaryota; Viridiplantae; Streptophyta; Magnoliopsida; Solanales; Solanaceae
Description: long non-coding RNA (NBEN_LNC028191)
Source: RNAcentral
GGGGGGGGAUUUGGGAUUUUUGUGAUCACUUGCUUUUGUAUCCUAUUAAAUCAGAAACAAAUCGAGCCAAAAGCCCUCACUAGGAGUGUGCUCAGAUGGAUGAUAUUUCACAUUAACCAAACAGCUCGAUCGAGCUCAAGUCUUGAAAAUAGAACAGCUCCUCCCUCCUGGUAAGAGAUACAUUCCUUUGUUAUGUCCUACACAACACAACAUGAAUCCAAAUUAGUCGGAUCGGUCAAUUUUAAAUACUCAAUGCAUAAAAAGAAAUCUUGAAUCAACUUCAAACCCCUCACAUAGAUACGACAAUCCUCUAUCGAAUACAACAAUCAUUGAUCAAUCAGUCAAAAGUGGAGUAGCUUCUUUAGUUUGGAAGGAAGUUAAUAAGAUAGUAGUCUAAAUUGACCAUUUGUUCACUCUUCCUCCAGCAUCUGCCGUUCUGGUUCUGUAAAUUUUACUGAUGGCCAAUGGAAAAAAUCAGAAAAUUUGCUGUCCAAAACGGAGCUGAUCUGUUUGGAGCAAUUUAGAGUUACAUA